GACGAACGCUGGCGGCGUGCCUAAUACAUGCAAGUCGAACGCUGAAGGAGGAGCUUGCUUCUCUGGAUGAGUUGCGAACGGGUGAGUAACGCGUAGGUAACCUGCCUGGUAGCGGGGGAUAACUAUUGGAAACGAUAGCUAAUACCGCAUAAGAGUAGAUGUUGCAUGACAUUUGCUUAAAAGGUGCAAUUGCAUCACUACCAGAUGGACCUGCGUUGUAUUAGCUAGUUGGUGGGGUAACGGCUCACCAAGGCGACGAUACAUAGCCGACCUGAGAGGGGGGUCGGCCACCCUGGGACUGGGACACGGCCCAGACUCCUACGGGAGGCAGCAGUAGGGAAUCUUCGGCAAUGGGCGGAAGUCUGAACGAGCAACGCCGCGUGAGGGAAGAAGGGUUUCGGAUCGUAAAGCUCUGUUGUAAGAGAAGAACGAGUGUGAGAGUGGAAAGUUCACACUGUGACGGUAUCUUACCAGAAAGGGACGGCUAACUACGUG
This 495-nucleotide ribosomal RNA is filed under the name uncultured bacterium. RNAcentral describes it as "partial 16S ribosomal RNA". It matches the Rfam family "Bacterial small subunit ribosomal RNA", at positions 28 to 507 of the family's 1533-position model. The record is from RNAcentral.